GUGCUCGUAGUCCAGUGGAUAGGACGCAAGCCUCCGGAGCUUGAAGCGUGGGUUCGACUCCCGCCGAGCACGCCA
This 75-nucleotide transfer RNA is filed under the name Quinella sp. 3Q1. RNAcentral describes it as "tRNA-Arg". It matches the Rfam family "tRNA". Rfam says of the family: Transfer RNA (tRNA) molecules are approximately 80 nucleotides in length. Their secondary structure includes four short double-helical elements and three loops (D, anti-codon, and T loops). Further hydrogen bonds mediate the characteristic L-shaped molecular structure. tRNAs have two regions of fundamental functional importance: the anti-codon, which is responsible for specific mRNA codon recognition, and the 3' end, to which the tRNAs corresponding amino acid is attached (by aminoacyl-tRNA synthetases). tRNAs cope with the degeneracy of the genetic code in two manners: having more than one tRNA (with a specific anti-codon) for a particular amino acid; and 'wobble' base-pairing, i.e. permitting non-standard base-pairing at the 3rd anti-codon position. The record is from RNAcentral. Lineage: Bacteria; Bacillati; Bacillota; Negativicutes; Veillonellales; Veillonellaceae.